GACGAACGCUGGCGGCGUGCUUAACACAUGCAAGUCGAACGGAAAGGCCCUGCGGUUGUGGGGUGCUCGAGUGGCGAACGGGUGAGUAUCAAGUGCGUAACCUCCCCUUGACUUUGGGAUAACUUCAGGAAACUGGGGCUAAUACCCGAUAGGAGCUCCCGCUGCAUGGCGGGGGAUGGAAAGUCUCGGCGGUUGGGGAUGGACGCGCGGCUUGUCAGCCUGUUGGUGGGGUAGCGGCUUACCAAGGCUUGGACGGGUGGCCGGCCUGAGAGGGUGACCGGCCACAUUGGGACUGAGAUACGGACCAGACUCCUACGGGAGGCAGCAGGGGGGAAUGUUGCACGAUGGGCGGAAGCCUGAUGCAGCAACGCCGGGUGCGGGAUGACGGCCUUCGGGUUGUAAACCGCUUUCGCCUGUGACGAAGCGGGAGUGACGGUAAUUGGUAAAGAAGCACCGGCUAACUACGUG
This 468-nucleotide ribosomal RNA is filed under the name uncultured bacterium. RNAcentral's name for it is "partial 16S ribosomal RNA". It matches the Rfam family "Bacterial small subunit ribosomal RNA", at positions 28 to 507 of the family's 1533-position model. The record is from RNAcentral.